GGGGUGAUGGCCUACCAGGCCGAGACGGGUAGCCGGCCUGAGAGGGCGACCGGCCACACUGGGACUGAGACACGGCCCAGACUCCUACGGGAGGCAGCAGUGGGGAAUAUUGCACAAUGGGCGAAAGCCUGAUGCAGCGACGCCGCGUGAGGGAUGACGGCCUUCGGGUUGUAAACCUCUUUCACCAUCGACGAAGCCAAAGUGACUGUCGGUGUAGAAGAAACACCGGCUGACUACGUGCCAGCAACCGCGGUAAUACGUACGGAGCGAGCGUUGUCCGGAAUUAUUGGGCGUAAAGAGCUCGUAGGCGGUUUGUCUCGUCUGCCGUGAAAACCCCGGGCUUAACCCUCGGCCUGCGGUGGAUACGGGCAAACUUAAGUUCGGUAGGGGAGACUGGAAUUCCUGGUGUAACGGUUAAAUGCCCAAAUAUCAGGAGGAACCCCGGUGGCGAAGGCGGGUUUUUGGGCCCAUACUGACCCUUAGGAACGAAAGCUUGGGGAACGAACAGGAUUAAAUACCCUGGUAGUCCCCCCCGUAAACGUUGGGCCCUAGGUGUGGGUGUCUUUCCACGGUUACCGUGCCGUAGCUAACGCU
Molecule: ribosomal RNA, 594 nt
Filed under: uncultured Actinomycetes bacterium
Lineage: Bacteria; Bacillati; Actinomycetota; Actinomycetes
Description: bacterial SSU rRNA
Rfam family: Bacterial small subunit ribosomal RNA
Source: RNAcentral